GAAGAGGUUUGGAAUGUUACUUUCUUCAAAUAACAAUCUAACACAGCAUGAUGUCGAGCAAGCCAAUCCAUCCCCACAAUUACAUCAAAUGAUGAAAUAUCAAGAAGAACAAAUUCCAUUGUAACUUCAAGACCCCCAAUACAAAGCACACAAGCAUGACACACCCACUGGGUUUCCACCUUACCACCCAUAGGAGUCUCAACACAUAAUGAACAAUGAAGGAGAACAAAUUUUGUCUAGCAUGGAGGCAAAUGAUGUAGAAAUAAAAGAGUGGGUAGCUCCUGGAUCAAAUAAAACAUGUGCCCAAGUGCUAAAACAUAAGAUCAUACCUUCCACCAAGGCAUUUGACUCUGCAUUUUGUGACCUCAUUGCAUAAAAUCUCCCUUGUUGUCCUUACUCUAGCAUCCCUCCAGGAUUCCAUUGUCUAAAGUUUCCUUCCCCUAAAGGUUGCCUUCCUUGGAUUCGUGGGUUCAUCUGCUGAAACUGUCGUUGUUGAGAUGGCUGGUAUGCAAGUCGUUGAAAUUUUGGGCAAUCCCUCCUAAGAUGUCCCACCUCACCACAUUCAUAACAUCUCCUUGGUCCCUUAGCCCAAUCUGUAGUCCCACUAUAUUCAUUCUUGUUUUCUGGGUUGUUGUUGGGGAUGAGUCACUUUCUGGCACUUGAAAUCUCGUUCCCAUUUUUGUGAACCACAAAACCUAGAAUUUAUGCUUCUCACCUUUUGAGCUUCCUCCAUUUCCCUUUCUAUAACAAGAGCCCUUGCCACAACCUCACUAUAAGUACGGAGCAUGAAGAGAGCGACCUGUGCUCUAAUGUUCAAUCUCAACCCCUCUUGGAAUUGUUGAACUCAUAUUUGUUCAUUUGCCACCACAUUCAAAGCAUAUCUAGAUAGUUGUGUAAACUUUGCAGCAUAUUCAGUCACUGUCAUGUUCCUUUGAACCAAGUGUAUAAAUUCAGCUCUUUUUUAUCUUCUAACGGUCUCUGGAAAGUAAUUAGAUAAAAGCAGCUCCUCAAAUCGCAUCCAAACCAUCUGAGUGGUCUUGAUCAUAUCCCACCAGUUGUCUCCUUCAUCCCUCAACAUGAAGGAAGCUAAAGAAACUCUCCUUUCCUCAAGCAUUGCCAUUACAUCCAGUAUUUUCUUUAUUUCUUUCAUCCAAUUCUCAACUUCAAGAAAAUUAGGCCCACCCCGAAAGAUUGGAGGAGUCAGUGCUUUAAAUUCCCCAAUUAGGCUCAGUUAUGAAAUUCUGAACCAGCAACCGGAUAUAUUGUAGCUUUUCCCUCAGUUACAUUACUAUGAGAUAUUGGAGAUGAUCUAGUUGUUCGUCUGGGCUUUGUAGUUAGUUUGUUCCUUGCUCUACGCAUUUUGUCUUAGAGAGGUAUAUAAGGAUUAGAUUAUCAACACAUCACCUUAUAAGGGCUAUUCAUUAUAUCAAGCAGCCUUAAACAAUACAAUCAAACAACUAACAGGCAUAGUAAUGGAUUCUCAAUGAUCAAGAAUUCAAACAGGCAACAUGAUCACAAUUAUCAUAGCUAGGCAUAUUCACACCACUACAACAAUGAAUGUCAUCAACACAACAAAAACACGAACCUAAUAGUCAUCAUUUAACCUUUCACUUAAUAUCAAUAUAUCAUAGACAAUAAAACAAAGUCACAAUAAUAAUGACUCCAGUGCACCUGUUGGGCUCCCCACCUAUUGUCCACAAUAAGGAUCUAAUCCCUUAUGCUCUGAUACCAAGCUAUCACACCUCGGUUUUUUUGUUAUUCUUCAAACUAAAACCCAGGGGCAGGACCAACCCCAUAUACCCACAUCGGAGUGUCUUCCUUGAGGGGUUUAGGGACUUUCACCCAAGGAACCACAGUCCCACAUAAACAAUAUAUCAAAAGAUAAUGCAUGUAGCACCACAUAGACACUUCCCACCAACCAAUUCUCUUAAUAUCAUCUGUGAUUAUUCCAUAUCCUUCUUUCCAUGCAACCAUACCAUAGACCAUUUCCACAACAUAGAACCAUGAAUCUCUACACCAAUAUGCGUUCCAAUCUCAAUGUAACAUUUCAACACGAUAAACCGAGAAGCAAUGACACAUUAAAAAGUUCAAUGAAAUCAUAGAAAUGACAUGAAAUUUCCAAUAAAUGUUUCAAGGAAAGAAAUCAGAUACACUAUGGGAUAGCAUAAAAUUCCCUACCUUACACCAACUUCCUUUUUGUGUUUCUUCUAAGUGGGCAAUCUUUGCCUAUUCCAAGGAACUGAAAUGAAAUAAUAAAAUUUAGGUUUCCUAACCAUGAAAAUUUAUACAGUUUAUUGUUGCUAAUUUUUAAUUCUCAUAUUCUCUAAUCUAUAUACCUAGAGGUUUUCAAAUCAAAUUUGUAUUGAAUUAAACAAUAUUUACAAUGCAUAUUAAUUUCCCUAAUUAAUUACCAAACACUAAUUGUUUUGAUUUUAUUAAAGCCUAACCCAUUAACAAAUCCCAAGUGUCCAAAUAACCUAAUUAAUCACAUGUUUACUAAUCUAUUUUUCAAUCAAACCAAAUUAAACGAAGAUUUAUGCUUAUCUACUAAUAAAAUACUUAAGUUAUAAUACUUUAAUCCAGAUAUAUUGUAACUUCAAGAUCCCCAAUAUGAAGUACACAAGCAUUACACAUGUCACACCCCAAUUUUUUUUUCUUAUGAUUAUUAUUUAUUCUUCAACUAAAGAAUUGAUACUCAAAUAUAGUAUAAGUGCUCUCAAAAAUUUAAAUGUUGAGUUCCUACUUGAAUUUGUUCAAAAAGAGGAUAUGGAAAACCUGUUAUAAAGAGUACAUCCUGUAUUAAACAUUGUGACUAUUAAGUUAACAAAAUAUGUUUUGUUUCACAAAAGAAACUUGUACAACAUUCAUUUACAUAUACCAAACCCCAUUGUUUACUACGGGUAGCCCAUACUACAAGUGUAUCUGACAAAUAUAUACAUUACAUCAUUCCAACAAAAGGUUUAGGUGGCGUUUGUUUUUUUUACUUUUUGCUAAAACUCAUUUAGUUUUAGAAUUUAGGUUAUUUGUUUUUUUUACUUUUUCAUGACUUAUUAUAAACUUUUUACUAAAUAGAAAAAGCCAAAAUAUGUGGCUUUUUCUAAAUAGAAAAAAUAACACAAUGAUUUUUUUUACUUUUUAAUACUUAAUAGAAAUAAAAUACUACAAAAACAAACAACCUAAUAUUUAAUACUAUUAAGUAUUAAGGUUCUAUUUAGAAUUAAGUAAAAAAACAAACACCACCUUAGUCUUGAUACAAAAGGCAUGGCCUCAAAAGACUUUCAAUAUGAGCAAACAGCAUCCAAUCACAGUAAAGCAUUGCUCAAGCAUUCUUUCCUGCAUAGGUCUUCUGACCUGCAUCUAUAGGUGGAAGGAAUAGGGUGAGUUCACAACUCAGUAGGAAAGUUUAUAACCAUCCUAAGUAUACCCUUAAAAACCUUGAAUUAAACAUUUAAUAACAUGCAGGAUAAACAUUUCAUAACCAUUAACAAAUGUGUAAUCAUGUCAAACAUGUAUGCAUGUGUUUGUUGGUUUCAUCAUUGCCUUUCCCAAUCCAUCCUUUCACAACUGAUAAUUUGCUGACUCCCAACAAUCUACACAGCAGAUAUCAAUGCUCCACACGAUACUCGAUCAAUAUAAUAAUGACUAUUCUGGGACAUCACCCAAGGGCAAGUCAUACCUCGUGUCUUUUGGGACUCAUACCCAAGGGCAGGACCAACCCCAUACACCCACAUCGGAGUGUCUUCCUCGAGGGCUUUAGGGACUUUCACCCAAGGACCCACGGUCCCACAUAAACAAUAUAUCAAAUGAUAAGGCCUGUAGCAUCACAUAAGCACUUCGCCACCAAUAAAUUCUCUGAAUAUGAUCUGUGAUAAUUCCAUAUCCUUCUUGCAAUGCAAUCACACCAUAAACCAUUUCGACAACACAAAACCACGAAUCUUCAUACCAAUAUACGUUCCAACAUCAUGGUAACAUUUCAAUGCAAUAAACCGAGAUGCAAUGACACUUUAAAAGAUUUUAUGAAAUCAUAGAAACAACAUAAAAUUCCAACAAAUAAUUCAAGGAAAGAAAUCAGAUACACCAUAGAAUAGCAUAAAAUUCCCUACCUUACACCGACUUCCUUUUUGUGUUUCUUCUAAGUAGGCGAUCUUUGCCUAUUACGAGGAACAUAAAUGAAACAACAUAAUUUAGGUUUCCUAACCAUGAAAAUUUAUAUAGUUUAUUGUUGCAAAUUUUUAAUUCUCACAUUUUCUAAUCUAUAUCCUACAUGUUUUCAGAUCAAAUUUGAAUUGAAUUAAACAAUAUUUACAAUGCAUAUUAAUUUCCCUAAUUAAUUACCAAACACUAAUUCUUUUGAUUUUCUAAAAGCCUAACCUAUUAUCAAAUCCCAAGUGUCCAAAUAACCCAAUUCAUCACAUGUUUACUAAUCUAUUUUUCAAUCAAACCAAAUUAAACAAAGAUUUAAGCUGAACUUACCAUUAAUAAAAUACUUAACUUAAAAAUACUUUAAUCUUUAAUUAAUUGUGAUUUUUAACUAAAACAGGUUUAUAGCUAAUUAUACUCAACUUUUACACAAUUUUUACCGUUGAUUCUAUUCAACAUACCAUUAGGAACCAAAAUAAACGAAAAUUACAAAAUUAAACAACUUGCUUACCUCAAAUCUACACUUUCUCUCUCUAGAUUCUCUCUCUAACCCAAGUUGCUGCAGGUGAAAUGGUGCAAAACGAGCUGCAGCCCCCUUAUAAAGGGGUCUCCAAGCACCCAAGCAUGAGGUGGCAGCCCACAUGGCUGCCACCAAUCACCCAAGUAAGAGGUGGCAUUCCACUAACUCAAAUUUCCAAAUUUUGCACUUUAGUCCUUCAAAUUAUCAAAAAUAAAACCCAUAAUUGCCCAUUAGUCCUUUAGGUUUUCAUAACCCUAAUUAGUCCCUAUGAACCUAAUAAGCAUGCUUAGGUCAUUAACUAAUCCCACUUAACCAUAAUCAAAGUUUAAUUCAUAAUUAAAUAUGAUUAGCACUAAACUAGUUUUAACAUCUAAUUAAGCAAGCUUAAAGUUAAGUACUAAAAUAAUCAUUAUUGCNNNNNNNNNNNNNNNNNNNNNNNNNNNNNNNNNNNNNNNNNNNNNNNNNNNNNNNNNNNNNNNNNNNNNNNNNNNNNNNNNNNNNNNNNNNNNNNNNNNNNNNNUGAUUUUUACUAAAAACAGGUUUAUAGCUAAUUAUACUCAACUUUUACACAAUUUUUACCGUUGAUUCUAUUCAACAUACCAUUAGGAACCAAAAUAAACGAAAAUUACAAAAUUAAACAACUUGCUUACCUCAAAUCUACACUUUCUCUCUCUAGAUUCUCUCUCUAACCCAAGUUGCUGCAGGUGAAAUGGUGCAAAACGAGCUGCAGCCCCCUUAUAAAGGGGUCUCCAAGCACCCAAGCAUGAGGUGGCAGCCCACAUGGCUGCCACCAAUCACCCAAGUAAGAGGUGGCAUUCCACUAACUCAAAUUUCCAAAUUUUGCACUUUAGUCCUUCAAAUUAUCAAAAAUAAAACCCAUAAUUGCCCAUUAGUCCUUUAGGUUUUCAUAACCCUAAUUAGUCCCUAUGAACCUAAUAAGCAUGCUUAGGUCAUUAACUAAUCCCACUUAACCAUAAUCAAAGUUUAAUUCAUAAUUAAAUAUGAUUAGCACUAAACUAGUUUUAACAUCUAAUUAAGCAAGCUUAAAGUUAAGUACUAAAAUAAUCAUUAUUGCCUAUUUUAUUCAUUAGUACUAGGUGUUACAACACACCCACUCGGUUUCCACCUUACCACCCUACAGGAGUCUCAACACAAUGAAUAAUGAUGGGGAACAAAUUCUAUGUCUAGCAUGGAGGCACAUGACGCAGAAAUAAAAGAGUGAGUAGCUCAAAGAUCAAAUAAAACAUGUGCUUACAAAAUUAAACAACUUGCUUACCUCAAAUCUACACUUUCUCUCUCUAGAUUCUCUCUCUAACCCAAGUUGCUGCAGGUGAAAUGGUGCAAAACGAGCUGCAGCCCCCUUAUAAAGGGGUCUCCAAGCACCCAAGCAUGAGGUGGCAGCCCACAUGGCUGCCACCAAUCACCCAAGUAAGAGGUGGCAUUCCACUAACUCAAAUUUCCAAAUUUUGCACUUUAGUCCUUCAAAUUAUCAAAAAUAAAACCCAUAAUUGCCCAUUAGUCCUUUAGGUUUUCAUAACCCUAAUUAGUCCCUAUGAACCUAAUAAGCAUGCUUAGGUCAUUAACUAAUCCCACUUAACCAUAAUCAAAGUUUAAUUCAUAAUUAAAUAUGAUUAGCACUAAACUAGUUUUAACAUCUAAUUAAGCAAGCUUAAAGUUAAGUACUAAAAUAAUCAUUAUUGCCUAUUUUAUUCAUUAGUACUAGGUGUUACAACACACCCACUCGGUUUCCACCUUACCACCCUACAGGAGUCUCAACACAAUGAAUAAUGAUGGGGAACAAAUUCUAUGUCUAGCAUGGAGGCACAUGACGCAGAAAUAAAAGAGUGAGUAGCUCAAAGAUCAAAUAAAACAUGUGCUUACAAAAUUAAACAACUUGCUUACCUCAAAUCUACACUUUCUCUCUCUAGAUUCUCUCUCUAACCCAAGUUGCUGCAGGUGAAAUGGUGCAAAACGAGCUGCAGCCCCCUUAUAAAGGGGUCUCCAAGCACCCAGCAUGAGGUGGCAGCCCACAUGGCUGCCACCAAUCACCCAAGUAAGAAGUGGCAUUCCACUAACUCAAAUUUCCAAAUUUGCACUUUAGUCCUUCAAAUUAUCAAAAAUAAAACCAUAAUUGCCCAUUAGUCCUUUAAGUUUUCAUAAACCCUAAUUAGUCCCUAUGAACCUAAUAAGCAUGCUAGUCAUUAACUAUCCCACCUUAACCAUAAUCAAANNNNNNNNNNNNNNNNNNNNNNNNNNNNNNNNNNNNNNNNNNNNNNNNNNNNNNNNNNNNNNNNNNNNNNNNNNNNNNNNNNNNNNNNNNNNNNNNNNNNAAAUCUACAUUUUCUCUCUCUAGAUUCUCUCUCUAACCCAAGUUGCUGCAGGUGAAAUGGUGCAAAACGAGCUGCAGCCCCCUUAUAAAGGGGUCUCCAAGCACCCAAGCAUGAGGUGGCAGCCCACAUGGCUGCCACCAAUCACCCAAGUAAGAGGUGGCAUUCCACUAACUCAAAUUUCCAAAUUUUGCACUUUAGUCCUUCAAAUUAUCAAAAAUAAAACCCAUAAUUGCCCAUUAGUCCUUUAGGUUUUCAUAACCCUAAUUAGUCCCUAUGAACCUAAUAAGCAUGCUUAGGUCAUUAACUAAUCCCACUUAACCAUAAUCAAAGUUUAAUUCAUAAUUAAAUAUGAUUAGCACUAAACUAGUUUUAACAUCUAAUUAAGCAAGCUUAAAGUUAAGUACUAAAAUAAUCAUUAUUGCCUAUUUUAUUCAUUAGUACUAGGUGUUACAACACACCCACUCGGUUUCCACCUUACCACCCUACAGGAGUCUCAACACAAUGAAUAAUGAUGGGGAACAAAUUCUAUGUCUAGCAUGGAGGCACAUGACGCAGAAAUAAAAGAGUGAGUAGCUCAAAGAUCAAAUAAAACAUGUGCUUACAAAAUUAAACAACUUGCUUACCUCAAAUCUACACUUUCUCUCUCUAGAUUCUCUCUCUAACCCAAGUUGCUGCAGGUGAAAUGGUGCAAAACGAGCUGCAGCCCCCUUAUAAAGGGGUCUCCAAGCACCCAAGCAUGAGGUGGCAGCCCACAUGGCUGCCACCAAUCACCCAAGUAAGAGGUGGCAUUCCACUAACUCAAAUUUCCAAAUUUUGCACUUUAGUCCUUCAAAUUAUCAAAAAUAAAACCCAUAAUUGCCCAUUAGUCCUUUAGGUUUUCAUAACCCUAAUUAGUCCCUAUGAACCUAAUAAGCAUGCUUAGGUCAUUAACUAAUCCCACUUAACCAUAAUCAAAGUUUAAUUCAUAAUUAAAUAUGAUUAGCACUAAACUAGUUUUAACAUCUAAUUAAGCAAGCUUAAAGUUAAGUACUAAAAUAAUCAUUAUUGCCUAUUUUAUUCAUUAGUACUAGGUGUUACAACACACCCACUCGGUUUCCACCUUACCACCCUACAGGAGUCUCAACACAAUGAAUAAUGAUGGGGAACAAAUUCUAUGUCUAGCAUGGAGGCACAUGACGCAGAAAUAAAAGAGUGAGUAGCUCAAAGAUCAAAUAAAACAUGUGCCCAAGUGCUAAAACAUAAGAUCAUACCUUCCACUAAGGCAUUUGACUCUGCAUUUUGUGACCCUAAUGCAUAAAAUCUCCCUUGUUGUCCUUGCUCAGGCUUCCCUUGUCUAAAGUUGUAACAACUAGUACCAAUGAAUUAAAUAGGCAAGAAUGAUUAUCUUAGUACGUAACUUUAAGCAUGAUUAAUUAGAUGUUAAAACUAGUUUAGUGCUAAUUUUGUUUAAUUAUAAAUUAAACUUUGAUUAAGGUUAAGUGGGAUUGGCUAAUGACUUAAGCAUGCUUAUUAGGUUCUUAGGGGCUGAUUAGGGUUAUGAAAACCUAAAGGACUAAUUGGAAAUUAUGGGUUUUAUUUUUCAUAACUUGAAGGACUAAAGUGCAAAAUUGGGAAAUUGGAGUUAGUGGAAUGCCAGCUCCUACAGGCCACCUUGUGCUUGGCUACUUGGAGACCCCUUUAAAAGGGGCUACAGCUCGUUUUGCACCAGUUCACCUACAGCAACUUGGGUUAGAGAGAGGAUCUAGAGAGAGAAAUUGUAGAUUUUAGGUAAGCAAGUUGUUUAUUUUUAUAAUUUUUUUAUUUUGGUUCCUAAUGGUAUGCUGAAAAGAAUUAACGGUAAAAUUUGUGUAAAAGUUUAGUGUAAUUAGAUAUAACCACGUUUUAGUUAUAAAAAAAUCGCAAUUAAUUAAAGUUUAAAGUAUUUUAUUAAUGGUAAGAUCAAAAUGAAUCUUUUUUUAAUUUUGUUUGAUUGAAAAAUAGAUUAGUAAACAUGUGAUUAAUUAGGUUAUUUGGAUAGUUGGGAUUUGUUAAUAGGUUAGGCUUUAAGAAAAUCAAAAGAAUUAUUGUUUGGUAAUUAAUUGGGGAAUAUGAUAAUUUAAAAAAAAAUAAUAACAAUAAGUUGUUAAAAAUAAGUAAGAAAGGAAAAUUUCAUAAGAUUUAAGAGAAUAAAUUUUAAUGGUUAGGAAAACCUAAAUUAUGUUGUUUCAUUUCAAUUCCUCGUAAUAGAAGAUCGCCUAUAUAGAAGAAAAACAAAAAGGAAACCGGUGUAAGGUAGGGAAUGUUAUACUAUCCAAGGGUGUAUCAAAUUUCAUGCCACUUCUAUGAUUUCAUAAAAUGUUUUAAUGUGUCAUUGCAUCUCGAUUUAUUGUGUUGAAAUGUUACAUUGAAAUUGGAACACAUAUUUGUAUGAAGAUUCAUGGUUCAUGGUGUGGUUGCAUUGACAAAAGGAUAUGGAAUAAUCAUAGAUGAUAUUCAGAGAAUUGAUUGAUGGGAAGUAUUUAUGUGAUGCUACAAGCAUUAUAUUAUGAUAUAUUAUUUAUGUGGGACCGUGGGUCCUUGGCCAAAAGUCCCUAAUGCCCUCGAGGAAGACACUCCCAUGUGGGUGUAUGGGGUUAGUCUUGUUCUUGGGUUUUAGUCCCUAAUGACAUGGGGUUAGUCCUGCCCUUGGGUAUGAGUCACAAAAGACACGGGGAAUGACUUGCCCUUGGGUGAGGUCCCAAAAUAGUCAGUAUUAUAUUGAUCAGGUAUCUUAGGGAGCAUUAAUAUCUGAUGUGUAGAUUGGUGGGAGUUAUCAGUUUAUCAGUUAAUGGUUAUAAAAUGUUUAUCAUGCAUGCUCUUAAACAUUUAAUUCAAGGUUUUUAAGGGUAUGCUUAAGAUGGUUAUAAACUUUCCUACUGAGUUGUGAAGUCACCCUAUCCCUUCCACCUCUAGAUGCAAGUCAGAAGAACCAUGCAGGAAAUAAUGCUUGAGCAAUGCUUUACUAUGAUUGGAUGUUGUUUGCCCCCAUUGAAAGUCUUUUGAGACCUUGCCUUUUGUAUCAAAAAUAGAAUCUUUUUGUGGGAAUGAUAUAAUACAUAUAUAUAUAUAUAUAUAUUUGUUAGGUACACUUGUAGUAUAGGCUACCCGUAGUGAACAAUGGGAUUUUGGUAUAUGUAAAUUAAUGUAGUACAAGUUUCUUUUGUGAAACAAAACAUAUCUUGUUAACUAAUAGUCACAAAGUUUAAUACAGGAUGUACUCUUUUUAACAAGUUUUGCGUAUCCUCUGUUUGCACAAAAUCAAGGAGGAACUCAACAUUUAAAUUUUUGAGAGCAAUUAUACUUUAUUUGAGUAUCAAUUGUUUAGUUUGAAGAAUAACAAAAACCAGGGUGUGACAAAAGUUUCCUUCCCUUUGAGGUUGCCUUCCUUGGAUUCAUGAGUUCAUCUGUUUAAAUUAUCGUUGAGAUGGCUGGUAAGCAAGUUGUUGAAAUUUUGGGCAAUCCCUCCCAAGAUGUCCCACUUCACCAGAUUCAUAACAUCUCCUUGGUCCCUUGGUCAUAUCUGUAGUCUCACUAUACUGCUCUUGUUUUCUAGGUUGUUGGGGAUGAGACACUUUUUGGCGCUUAAAAUCUUGUUCCCAUUUUAUUGAACCACCAAACCUAGAAUUUUUACUUCUCAACCUUUGAGCUUCCUCCAUUUCCCUUUCUCUAACCAAAGCCCUUGCCACAACCUCACUGUAAGUACGAAACAUGAAGGGAGCGACCUGUGCUCUAAUGUUCAAUCUCAGGCACUGCCAUUGUAACACCUAGUACUAAUGAAUUAAAUAGGCAAUAAUGAUUAUUUUAGUACUUAACUUUAAGCUUGCUUAAUUAGAUGUUAAAACUAGUUUAGUGCUAAUCAUAUUUAAUUAUGAAUUAAACUUUGAUUAUGGUUAAGUGGGAUUAGUUAAUGACCUAAG
Molecule: long non-coding RNA, 10925 nt
Filed under: Vitis vinifera (wine grape)
Lineage: Eukaryota; Viridiplantae; Streptophyta; Magnoliopsida; Vitales; Vitaceae
Description: long non-coding RNA (VVIN_LNC000487)
Source: RNAcentral